Molecule: ribosomal RNA, 403 nt
Filed under: uncultured bacterium
Lineage: Bacteria
Description: bacterial SSU rRNA
Rfam family: Bacterial small subunit ribosomal RNA
Source: RNAcentral
UGAGGAAUAUUGCACAAUGGGCGCAAGCCUGAUGCAGCAACGCCGCGUGCGGGACGAAGGCCUUCGCGUCGUAAACCGCUCUUCUGGGGAAAGAGCAAGGACGGUACCUCAGGAAUAAGUCUCGGCUAACUACGUGCCAGCAGCCGCGGUAAUACGUAGGAGGCGAGCGUUAUCCGGAUUUACUGGGCGUAAAGCGCACGCAGGAGGCUCUGUGAGUCGGACGUGAAAGCUCCCGGCUUAACCGGGAGAGGCCGAUCGAUACGGCGGGGCUUGAGGUAGAGAGAGGAAGGCGGAAUUCCCGGUGUGGGGAUGGAAUGCGUAGAUAUCGGGAGGAACACCUGGUGCGAAAGCGGCAUUCUGGCCCUCGCCUGACGCUGAGGUGCGAAAGCGUGGGUAGCAAACA